This 363-nucleotide long non-coding RNA is filed under the name Homo sapiens (human). The record is from RNAcentral. Lineage: Eukaryota; Metazoa; Chordata; Mammalia; Primates; Hominidae.
AAAGAACUCAGGCAGCCAUGGGGUAUUUUUCAGAAUUCCCGGCGGUGAAGGGUCAGAGCCAUGGGCAUUAGGGAGAAAGCUGAAGGCACAGCGGGUAGUGCCAAAGUCUCCCGUGAUGUAUCCUGUGUCCACAUCCCAACAACCCCAUCGGCAGGACUCUUUCCUGGUUUGCCCACAAGGAGGAAAGUGAGGAAAGUGAGGCGUCAGAGAGAUGAAGCAACUUGUUUGAAGGCGGCCACACAGCUGGUAAGUGUGGGGACAGGAUUUGAACGAGGGUAUUUUGCAUGGGAAGUCUGGCCUUCUGGCUACCACCCCACCUCUUCAUCCCAAGACACUCUCCCAAGUCUGGCCCCACAUGGCUCC